RNAcentral lists this ribosomal RNA (350 nucleotides) under uncultured bacterium. RNAcentral's name for it is "partial 16S ribosomal RNA". It matches the Rfam family "Bacterial small subunit ribosomal RNA", at positions 338 to 685 of the family's 1533-position model. The record is from RNAcentral.
CCUACGGGAGGCAGCAGUGAGGAAUAUUGGUCAAUGGGCGCGAGCCUGAACCAGCCAAGUAGCGUGCAGGAUGACUGCCCUACGGGUUGUAAACUUCUUUUAUAAAGGAAUAAAGUGAGGCACGUGUGCCGUUUUGUAUGUACUGUAUGAAUAAGGAUCGGCUAACUCCGUGCCAGCAGCCGCGGUAAUACGGAGGAUCCGAGGGUUAUCCGGAUUUAUUGGGUUUAAAGGGAGCGUAGAUGGGUUGUUAAGUCAGUUGUGAAAGUUUGCGGCUCAACCGGAAAAUUGCAAUUGAUACGGGCAGUCUUGAGUACAGUAGAGCAGGGCGGAAUUCGUGGUGUAGCGGUGAA